This is an RNA transcript of Zingiber officinale, 3842 nucleotides long. RefSeq lists it as uncharacterized. The transcript has 14 exons. The record is from RefSeq and is a predicted model, not a curated record. Lineage: Eukaryota; Viridiplantae; Streptophyta; Magnoliopsida; Zingiberales; Zingiberaceae.
CGUUCUGCGACCUAUAUGACCCCGCUGCUACGACGGCGGUGGCGUUGGCCGCCUCCUCUGUUCUGGACUUCCAGUCGCCGUCUCUCGCUCCGUCUCGGGAUUGCGAUGCUUGGUCGAUUAGCUGCGAGGGGAUCAACAGCCAAAGCUCUCCUCCGCUGCCCUAAGUCCGUCCCGCCACUCCUCACCGCAUCCGCCGCCGUCCGUUUCUUCAGCACCGGCGGCGGAGAUGCCUCCUCCCCCCCGGAACGGCUCGCCCUCGAGAUGACCCAGUACGCUCUCGGACUUGCUAGAUCGCAGAAAUCAGGAGAUUCGUACUCCCAUGCGAUGCUGGUGCUGGAGCAAGGAAUGUCCAACCUGAGGGAAGGAGGAGGAGGAGCGGUGGAGGGAACUAGCUCGAGCGACAACGCCAUGGGGAUGAUCUUGCUUGCCCUGUCCACUCUGCUUUACGAGAGAGGGCAGCUUCAAGAUGCCAACGAGAAGCUUGAGAUGGUUCAUCAGUUAGGGCGAGCUUCAAUAGAUCUCAUUGUUGCUGCCUGUGAGGGUCGAGUGGGGUUAAACUUGGAGACUGGUCAGGAUGCCAAUUCGUUGCUGCUUGCAGACAAUUGUUCUCAUUUGCUUAGAGCUAGUGAAGAGGGCGGUGUUCCUGUGUCAGAGGUUACCAAAUUUCGUGCUAAAUCAAUUAAAGGACUUGUUGAUCUUAUAAAUGGGGAUUGUAUGUCUGUGGAAUCAGUGUACGGUGGCUCCAAGGAAUGUGGUAUGGGAAGAACUGAAAACCAAUUAGGAACUAGCCUUCUUUCUCAAGGGGAAAUUUCACAUUGCAUCGGGAAUUUCUCAUUAUCAAAAGAACUCUAUGAGAAAGCACUCUUGACAUUAGAGACCAAAAAAACAUCGAGCAUGUCUUAUCUAGCAUCUACCAAUAUGGUGCCUGAAGAAGUUACAAUCGGAGCAGCAUGUGCCUUGGGACAACUUCUGUCUCAUUCUGGGAACUUUGCAGAGGCCGAGGAACAACUAACAAAGGCUCUUGUCAAGGCUGAAGAACAUUUUGGUUCAACUCAUCCAAAAGUUGGUGUGAUCUUGACUUGCAUAGCCAUUAUGUAUAAGCGCAAGGCACAGGUGGAAGCGUCAAGCUCUAUAAUAAUUCAAGAGGGAUUGUACAGGAAGGCCACAGAUUUGCUCAAAGCUCCUGACUUGAAUGAGAAAGUUGUUGCACUACUCGAUAGGAGGGACAUAAUUGCUCUAGCUAGAGAUUGGUCCAUUUGAAAAUGCAAAGGAGCUCUGGGACAAGCUAAUCGAACUACACGAGGGCACCAGUGACACGAAGGUAACACAAAGAAACCUCCUAUUAAAUUCAUUAUAUAAUAUCAAAAUGUAGGAUGGAGAAAAGAUAAAACUUCACGCGAGGAUCAAAGACAUCGGUUUGCACCUUAUCGGCCACAAACUUUAAAAUCGGGAUGUUAUAAGGUAAUUUAAAUUCAUUUUCUCGAAAUGCACUAUGGACAUCUAUAGUGGAUGCCUGUGAAGUUUCGAGAAACUUAAAUAAACUUAAAUUAGAUGAACUAUUCUGUGAACUAGAGCUGCACGAACAGACUAGCUCCCAAAAGACCGAGAAAGGUAUCGUGUUUCUUGCAGGUUCUACAAAUCAGACAAAGAAUAAGACCAAGCAAAAGGCGGAAUCUGAGUCUGAGUCAGGACUUGGAUCUAGAAGAGCAAUUGGUGAAUAUGGUGUGGCGAAUGUUCACUAAAAAGGACUUCAACACAAAGGACCUUCAAAAGAUUAUCAAGCCCAACAUCAGCAAGUUAAACAUCACCUGCUUCGGAUGUAACAAAAAGGGCCACUACAAGCACGAGUGUCUGAACAUCAAGGAAGAUAAACCCAAGAACCUCAAGAAAAAGAAGGCACUCAAGGCAACUUGAGACGAGUCAUCUUUGGAGGAAUCGGAUAACGACGAACCGAAGCAUAACAAUUAUUUGACACUGAUGGCAACCGGACCAGAAUCAGAAAACGAAUUGGGACAAGAUGAAGAGUCAGAAUAGGAGUCGAGCCACGAGUCCAAACUCGUUUUCGAAGGUUCCACCAAGGACUUGACUGGUCUGACACCAGACUGAAAUCCACCUAGGUUUGAGGACCUGAUAGUUGGUGUAGAAGUCCAGAUAAGUCAAGGAGUGACAUGAUAUCUGAUGGGAGCCCGACUGAGUUUGCGGGACGUGACAGCUGGCCGAAGUCUAGUUGAGUCUGCGAACCUGACAAUUGGCGGGAAGACCUGGUGAACCAAGGAAGAGUCAAGCAAUUUUGUAUAAUAAGGCAAAAGGAGCACAAAAUGCCUCGGGUGAACAGUACCCGAGGCGCCUUGAACCGAUGGAAGACGCCUUGAGCUGGGUGAUAGAAGGCGCCCGGUCAGAUAACAUAGAAGAUCUCGGCGAUGAUAAGACACAGUCUUCUCGGGAUAAAACUUUACUGAUGGAAGGCGCCUUGAACACUCUAUAAAAGAAAGCUUCGAAUAGUGCAAUGAAAACAACUCUUCUACAAGCUUUUGCGCAUUUGUUCGACGCUCCGACUGCUCCGAUUUCGUGCUGUUGCUCUGCUACGACACUGUUGCGAUUGACUACUGCUGAGAAGCUGUCCAACACAGAGCUCGAUCUGAUAAUCUACAAGCAUUGGAUAACGAAAUUUUCUUUCUAUACUUAAUUAUUGCUUAAAAGGAAAGUGUAGCUUAUUACACUUAUCCAAUCUUUUCUAUUAUAUUUGUUUCCCUCUUUCGGCGGUUCUGGAAGAGAAUUAUAGUAAAUUGCCAUCGAUACGGUCCGUAAGAUCGUGGGUUUUGGAGUAGUAGUCGCCGAAGGCUCCAAACCAAGUAACCGAUCGAGUCUUGUUUUUGUUUCUAUUUUUAUUUUUUCCAUUGCGUACUUGUUUUAUAAAAUCGAAAAGAUAAAUUUUUCAAAAUUACACGAUUCAUCCCUCUCUCAUGUGCGUAACGGUCCUACAUAACAUACCCUCUUUAUGAGAUCAUCUGACAAGGGGAAGUCUUUCAGCAUUCAUCUCCCUAGUGCUCUUUUUCCUUGAUAUGAAGAGCUAAACAGUGAAAUGUCAUGCUCUAAGUUCGCUACUAUGAAAGAGUGGGCUGUACUCUCCAUUUCCAUUAAAAAUUAAAUAGAGAAAACAUUUUGUUUUCAUUUGCUAUUUCUAAUUGUGCUAUUCAUCUUUCUUUGAGGACAUUGGAGUAUUUUCUUUUUUCCUCUAUCUAUGAUGGACUACUAUAUCCGUCGCUUAUGGGAAAAUCCCACCUAUAGAGACAAGUUGUUGAGAUUUAUUUGGUCCUAAGAUUGUUUUACUCCCCUACAUCCAUUAACAUAUUACAGCAUUGCCCGUGCCUAGGAAUAGAAAGUACAACCUUCCAAACACUCGUCAUUUGUCGUGAUCGCCUUUGCAGUACCUCUUCUUCAUUAGUAUUCACUCUCAAAAGAUCCAAGAGUGUCAAAGAGAGCACUGAAAUUCCAGUAGCAGACAACUGGCCAACCUAUGCUGAAAAUACCCAUGUGUUGAUUGAUUGGCUAAUUGACCUCGCUGCCCGAGAUAGUCCAGGUUGGAGCCUGGUCAGCCUCAAAACACUUAAGAGGUAGUUAUCUAAGAAUUGACCUUGGCAUACCCUCACCGCUAGUUACACUUACCGAGUUCUCUCAAAAUUGCAUCUUGCUAUGAUAUCUGUCUGAAUUCUUUUCCCUUUUUUUUUAUAUGUAUUUACUAGAAAAUAAAUAAAAUCAGUAACUUGAAAAAUCUUACUAUAGCCUUUCCUUCCAUUUGAAGGUGGAUAUGCGGAUCUGUUGUGCAUUCAACAGAACAGAAA